UACAUUUUAUUUUGUUUUUUAAAUUUAAUUUAUAUUUUACUUUAUUUUGAGACAGAGUCUCGCUCUGUUGCCCAGGCUGGAAUACAGUGGUGCCAUCUCGGCUCACUGCAACCUCCGUCUCCUGAGUUCAAGCGAUUCUCCUGCCUCAGCCUCCCAAGUAACUGGGAUCACAGGCGCACGCCACCACGCCCGGUUAAUUUCUGUAUUUUUCAGUAGAGAUGGGUUUUCACCAUGUUGGCCAGGCUGGUCUUGAACUCCUGGCCUCAAGCGAUCUGCCCACCUCGGCCUCCCAAAGUGCUGGGAUUACAGGCGUAAGCCACUGUGCCCGGCCAUAACAUUUUAAACGUCAUAGAAGUCAUAAUGGGAAUGAUAAAAAAGAAAAAAGGGAUAUAUUUGGAUUAAGAUAUAAAUAAAAACUUCAUAGUUAUCGAACAGGAGGCAAAAAUAAAAGAUUGUUGUGAGUUUUAAAGCUUCGGUGAUAUAGAGAAAGCUAUUUUCAGUGAUGGCUAUAGGGUGGUCAGUAAGAGGAUUGUUCACAUAAAGUCUAGGAGACUUCCUUUUGACUGAAAAAAAAAAAGAUCCUGAUGAUUUUUAUGGGAAGAUAGAAAGGCACUCCCUAUGUCUUUUGAUUUUCUCGUGUAUUCUUUCCAAAACUAUUGAAGAAUACCAACCUACAAUUAGUAAUAGCAAAAUGGCUGGCACUUAAAUAUAUAAUAAUGAACAAGACUUGUAAUAUUCACAGGAAAGAAAGAACAUGUAAAAAUAUCAUAGGGACUAAUUUCCUAAUAGGGGAAACUGGGUGUGA
Molecule: long non-coding RNA, 805 nt
Filed under: Homo sapiens (human)
Lineage: Eukaryota; Metazoa; Chordata; Mammalia; Primates; Hominidae
Description: HSALNT0372262
Source: RNAcentral